Molecule: transfer RNA, 64 nt
Filed under: Tribolium castaneum (red flour beetle)
Lineage: Eukaryota; Metazoa; Arthropoda; Insecta; Coleoptera; Tenebrionidae
Description: tRNA-Tyr
Source: RNAcentral
GUUGAAGUGGCUGAGAUUAAGCGGUAAAUUGUAAAUUUACAGACGAAUGAGAAUUCCUUUAUCA